CCCUCCUCUCUUCUCGCUCUGCUUCCUGGCUGCUGUGGGGUGAGCAGCUUUCCUCCACCACGCCUUUCCACGGUGCCAUUCCUGCCUCAGAGGAUGUCUUUAGCUGAUGUAAUGUUACCCCGGAGCACCCAGUAUCACUAGAUCAUGAAGGCCUCAACUGUGACCGGAGGGAGAUGGAAUUAUUUCUGCAUACCACAGCCCGCUCACAGGAGACAAAUUCUAACCAGACCAACCAUAGAGAAGAAACUGAGAAAGUGGUCAAAUGCCUCUUGACUCCAACACACAAGACCCAGGGACUAGUUUGUGACGUGGAGCCCUGGUGUCUGGGGUCUGAGGAUGACGACUACCAUCCCCCACCCCCACCCCCGUCAGGA
Long non-coding RNA from Heterocephalus glaber (naked mole-rat), 374 nucleotides. The record is from Ensembl. NCBI's taxonomy places the organism in Eukaryota, Metazoa, Chordata, Mammalia, Rodentia, Bathyergidae.